This 253-nucleotide ribosomal RNA is filed under the name uncultured bacterium. Its description in RNAcentral is "partial 16S ribosomal RNA". It matches the Rfam family "Bacterial small subunit ribosomal RNA", at positions 524 to 776 of the family's 1533-position model. The record is from RNAcentral.
UACGGGGGGGGUAAGCGUUGUUCGGAAUUACUGGGCGUAAAGGGCUCGUAGGCGGCCAACUAAGUCAUACGUGAAAUCCCUCAGCUUAACUGGGGAACUGCGUGUGAUACUGGAUGGCUUGGAUUUGGGAGAGGGAUGCGGAAUUCCAGGUGUAGCGGUGAAAUGCGUAGAUAUCCGAAGGAACACCGGUGGCGAAGGCGGCUUCCUGGACCGACACUGACGCUGAGGCGCGAAAGCUAGGGGAGCAAACGGG